This is a long non-coding RNA of Physeter macrocephalus (sperm whale), 3225 nucleotides long. RefSeq lists it as uncharacterized. The record is from RefSeq and is a predicted model, not a curated record. The transcript is spliced from 4 exons. Lineage: Eukaryota; Metazoa; Chordata; Mammalia; Artiodactyla; Physeteridae.
CCCUUUGGUAACCAUAAGUUUGUUAGUGAUGUCUGUAAGUUUGCUUCUGUUUUGUAAAUAAGUUCAUUUGUAUCUUUUUUAAAGUUAGAUUUCACGUAUGAGUGAUAUCACAUGAAAUUUGUCUCUGUCUGACUUCACUUAGUAUGAUAAUUGCUAGGUCCAUCCAUGUUGCUGCAAAUGGCAUUAUUUCAUUCUUUUUCAGAGAUGAUUUACUACAUACUUUUGAGUAGUGUGACAGGCAAAAAACUAUGUUCAUCUGAUUCUAUUUCAUAUGAGUUUUGCUUGGGCACAUGGAAAACCACACUUCCUAGUUUGUUAAGCAGAUCAUAUGCCUAUUUUUGACAAAUGAGUCAUGAGCAUACAGGACAUUUGUCACUCCUGGUCUGAAGCAAUGGGAACUUGUUGUGCGCUUAUUCAGACUUUCUCUUCCUUUGCAGCAGUGCCUUGAAAGAAUCCACUUUUUGAGCUGACAGAGCCACAAGAUUGAAGCAAUCUGCAUUCCUGCUGCUUGAGUGAAGUUUUUUAUGCUCUGAUUUACUUCCUCUUCUCCUGCAACUCCAAUGUCACAUUUAGGAAAGGAGAAAUGCAUAUUAGAGGCAUAAAAAUAGAAGUCUCUCCUCGGGUAGAUACCACCUGCUCUAUGCGGAGUCUCUCCUUUUCUUUGCAAUUUUAGCAAAGUACAUUUGACAAGAGUUUUCUGUCUGCGGAACGCUGUCAAUGAAAGAAGAGGAUCUGCUUUAUUCUGGGGAAAUGCUAUCAGUCAUGAUAGUCACAGAUCAGCAAACAGUGUAACAAGAUGGCAAAAAUUCUCCAAGCAAAAAAGGAAUAAAAAGCUUCCAUGCCAAGAUCACAUCUAGAGCAAGACCAUAAAGUACUUUGUGAAGACUUCAAAGAAAUAUAGAAUGGUGCUUCAAUGAAACCUUUAGAAAGAGAGUAGGCUGAGACUAUUCAGUUCAACCUGUUUUCUCAUGGAGAAAGGAUGGAUGACUCAGAGUGUUGCAUCAAGAACUCAGAAAAUGGAGGCACGAUCUAUGGAGAAUCACUCCCAGGAAGCAGAACCAGGCUGCACCCAAGACCUGACAACGUGCGCCUAGUCAGGUUUCAGUGUGUGCCCAGUCCAUGGGACUAUCCCAUGCAGUCUGGUUUCCUCUUUUUGAACAGAGUGUUUAUUGCUAUAAUGCCUUAACACUUGCUUUUUGGGCUUAUGUAGGGAGGGCUAACUUGUUUUUUUAGUGGAGACUUUCAAGUUGGAAAAAAUCUUAUCAGAGAAGCUGUUUCCCCCCCAAAACAAACAAGAGCCUCAUCUCAACUUGAUUUGACCUAGAUGGCACGAUUUUGAACCUAGAGCCCUCUCUGAUGAGACAGUUGACAAAUCUUAGAAAGGGGUUAAAAAAUUGAACUUUAUUUUGAGUCUUAUGGGAUAAUUCAGUCUGGUAGUAUUAUAGGAAUUUAAUUGACUGAGCACCUCCUUUUUCUGAGGGCCAAAAUGCUUGCUGUGGAAAGAAGGAUCAUCAAAUAUGUUAACUGAUUUUUCAUCAUAUAAGAUGACCGUUAACUUUUAUAUCAUCUGAAUUUCUCAAUGUUUUAGGUAGGAAAAAUGUGAAUAACUUGUUGCCGGUGUGUAAAUCAUGACUGAUCUAUAAUGUAGCCCCUGAAUUCUUUAAUACUGAUCCCAGCACAAGAAGUGGGGAUCUUUGUUCCUCACCCUUGAAUCUGGGUGGAUUUUGACUAUGGCAGGAGGAACAUUGUACCAUUUCUUUCCGGUUCUUUUGGCACACACAUAUUGAUCAUGUUCUAAGGAAGCCAAGCAACCUAUGAAGUGGUUGCUGGUUGCAUGUGGGUGUCGUAGCUGAUGACCACAGGAACGAUCCAAGCUAUCAGUAUCAACCACCAGACAUGUGGGAAGAAGCCUCUGUAGUGGCACCAGUGCCACCACCUCCUAUUAUAGGUGCAUAGACUCUAAGUCAAGAACCACCUAGCCAAGCCCAGUCAACCAACAGAACCAUGAGAAAGAGCAAUGAAAUAACUAUUAUUGUUUUAAGCCACUAAGAUUUCGAGUUGUUAUGCAGUAGUAGGAACUAGAAAUCUAGAUAUAUGACUUGAGCUCAAUUUAGAUAUGCUUUAACAGCAAAACAUGCUAUUAUUCUUUGCCAACAGUUCAAUUAUACCAACAAUUCAUUUUAUCUUCUAAUAAAGUAUCAUUCUUCCUUGUAUCAGGGGCAUUUGAUGGUAGAAUAUCAGGUAAUUAUAGAAGUUAAUAAAAAUGGUUUUGGCAUGGUUGUUGAUCAUAUUUGGGGAUCCAGGUCAGGUGGAACUAAUUUGUCAUCUUACGUGUUAAAAAACCAGUUCAUAUAUUGAAUGCAUCUUUCUUCCUAAGUGAGUACUUUGGAGAAUAAAGUCUUAUAGUAAGGGGUGGGUGUUAUUUGGGGUGCUAUUAUGUUUCCAAGCUAAACUAUUCCAGAAUCUUUAAAUCUCUUUUUGUACUUUGAAUCUCUUCAUAUAUUAAAUCUUUGAAUCUCUUUAUAUCCUCAUUUUAAAUGAAUUUUAAAGUGUUACUUAGUAUUAUUUUAACCCUUAGGUUCACUAAGAAAUUAUUUUCAGAGGUUGUUUUACUUAUCUCCUGUUUCUGAUAUGUUAGUUCUUUGGUUUUUCAGUUAUUGUUUGAUCUCAGCCAAUUAGGAUACCUAACUUCAUUUUGCUAGUGUGUUAGAAGGUCACCAAUGCUUUAUGUUCCAAUAGCUUAUUCUGUAUUCUCUGAAAAUGCUUUCUUCUGUAAAUUGAUCAUUAACAUGGAGUUUAUAAACCAUUUUAAUUAAUAAAUCCACUGUUUUCCUUUGUGAAUUAAAUACACUUUCAUGUGGGUAGAGAGGAGAGUAAGCUCCAGUUCAAAGAGGCUCAGGAUUUCACCUACAAAAAGUAAUCUGGUUUUAAAACCUCAUUUAAGCUUUAUCUGGCAUUACAAAAGCUCAAAAUCCUAUACACUGCUUUCAAGUAGAAAGUAAUGGAAUUUCAAUUUUGCUAAAUAGAUUGCCUAGUGAUGCUUGAAGAGUUUGAUUUAACUAGAUAAAUGAAUUAAAGAGCUGAAAAAGGAAGUGCAGGAAUGAAUUUUGUAUGUGUUUGUUGGGUUAUGUAAUAGAAAAAUUUUGAUAGUAGCUAUACAUCUUUAAAAGAGAUAGAAAAAUUUGAUUUAAAUUCUAACAUGUCACUAUAUACAGCAAAUAAUUU